AUACUUACCUGGCAGGGGAGAUACCGUGAUCACGAGGGUGGUUUUCCCAGGGCGAGGCUUAUCCAUUGCACUCCGGAUGUGCUGACCCCUGCGAUUUCCCCAAAUGUGGGAAACUCGACUGCAUAAUUUGUGGUAGUGGGGGACUGCGUUCGCGCUUUCCCCUG
Molecule: small nuclear RNA, 164 nt
Filed under: Cervus hanglu yarkandensis (Yarkand deer)
Lineage: Eukaryota; Metazoa; Chordata; Mammalia; Artiodactyla; Cervidae
Description: U1 spliceosomal RNA (ENSCHYG00000015114.1)
Rfam family: U1 spliceosomal RNA
About the family: U1 is a small nuclear RNA (snRNA) component of the spliceosome (involved in pre-mRNA splicing). Its 5' end forms complementary base pairs with the 5' splice junction, thus defining the 5' donor site of an intron. There are significant differences in sequence and secondary structure between metazoan and yeast U1 snRNAs, the latter being much longer (568 nucleotides as compared to 164 nucleotides in human).
Source: Rfam by way of RNAcentral